RNAcentral lists this ribosomal RNA (405 nucleotides) under uncultured prokaryote. RNAcentral's name for it is "bacterial SSU rRNA". It matches the Rfam family "Bacterial small subunit ribosomal RNA", at positions 355 to 774 of the family's 1533-position model. The record is from RNAcentral.
UGGGGAAUAUUGGGCAAUGGGCGCAAGCCUGACCCAGCAACGCCGCGUGAAGGAAGAAGGCUUUCGGGUUGUAAACUUCUUUUGGCAGGGACGAAAAAAAUGACGGUACCUGCAGAAUAAGCUCCGGCUAACUACGUGCCAGCAGCCGCGGUAAUACGUAGGGAGCAAGCGUUAUCCGGAUUUACUGGGUGUAAAGGGCGCGUAGGCGGGAAUGCAAGUCAGAUGUGAAAUCUGGGGGCUCAACCCCCAAACUGCAUUUGAAACUGUAUUUCUUGAGUGAUGGAGAGGCAAGUGGAAUUCCUAGUGUAGCGGUGAAAUGCGUAGAUAUUAGGAGGAACGCCAGUGGCGAAGGCGACUUGCUGGACAUUAACUGACGCUGAGGCGCGAAAGCGUGGGGAGCAAACA